RNAcentral lists this ribosomal RNA (253 nucleotides) under uncultured bacterium. RNAcentral describes it as "partial 16S ribosomal RNA". It matches the Rfam family "Bacterial small subunit ribosomal RNA", at positions 524 to 776 of the family's 1533-position model. The record is from RNAcentral.
GACGAACCGAGCGAACGUUGUUCGGAAUCACUGGGCUUAAAGGGCGCGUAGGCGGGUGCUCAAGUCCGUGGUGAAAUCCUCCGGCUCAACCGGAGAACUGCCUCGGAUACUGGGUGCCUCGAGGGUGGUAGGGGUAUGCGGAACUAUCGGUGGAGCGGUGAAAUGCGCAGAUAUCAGGAAGAACACCCGUGGCGAAGGCGGCUCUCUGGAACGCAACUGACGCUGAGACGCGAAAGCGUGGGGAGCAAACAGG